Long non-coding RNA from Sardina pilchardus (European sardine), 1015 nucleotides. RefSeq lists it as uncharacterized. The transcript has 3 exons. Lineage: Eukaryota; Metazoa; Chordata; Actinopteri; Clupeiformes; Clupeidae. The record is from RefSeq and is a predicted model, not a curated record.
UAAAAGCACGAUUUUUAGGGCAUAGUGCGUUCACACUGAAAAACAAGCGAAAACUCAGUGCUCUGAAAGUACCCGGAUGGUGCACUAAUAACGGACAAAAAUCCAGUGUAAGAUGAUGGACACUACUUACACUAAACGGACGCCAUUUUGCCUGCGUAGCGGAAGGGGAGGGGCUUUUCCCCAAGUUUUCAGAUUUGAAAUAAUGGCGGCCAGCACCGAGAUGGAAGCGAUGAAAGCAGCGAUGCAAGCCGAGGGGAACUGCUUCGUAAAAAUGGACAUAUGAGGACACCGGGGCCGUAAUAUUGUGGCGGACGGCCAAUGUGGCGCUUUUCACGGGGAAGAGGAACGGUACGGACACCUACAGCCCCAGAGGUGGUUCCUGGAGGUACUGGUCCUGGUGCGGGUUGGUCCCUUGCUGCUCUCCCAACAUCGACAUCAGCAUCUGGCUCCAGGACGUCCCCGUUGCUCACACAGAUGUUGUGGAGAACAGUACAGCACACAAUGACCUCCGGCACAUACUUCACCUCCACCUCCAGAGCCUUGAGGAAAAUGGACUGCCAUCUUGUUUUCAGGACCCCAAAAGACUACCCUUGACAGGUAGCAGUUGUAUAUUGCUUGGAGGUGGUUCUAACAGGCUGUCUGAAGGGUGUCAUGAGGCAGAUGGGGCAGAUGGGGCGUGACAAGCAGGGGUAGCCACAUCUCCAAUGUGCAGUAUCCUGUGGGGGGUAGGACUGCUCAUAGUAGAUGGGGCCUUUUUGUAGGACUCGGGCGUCGUGGACUGACCCACAACAUCCAACAAACACGUCCAGAAAUCUUCCGCCGUCGUCACAGAUGACCUGCAGCUGGACGGAGUGAAAUAGCAGGGAGCGUCCUCUGCAGGGGGCUUCACGCGGAUGUGCCAUCAGUCAAUCGCUCCUACCACCCUGUUGAAGGCAGCAGAUCCGGCUAGGCGGGCAAAGCGGGCACCCAAGCGAGAGAGUUCCUCUGCGGUGGGAUGGCGGACCACUUCAUAAAG